GCCGGGCGCGGUGGCUCACGCCUGUAAUCCCAGCACUUUGGGAGGCUGAGGUGGGUGGAUCACCUGAGGUCGGGAGUUCAAGACCAGCCUGACCAACAUGGAGAAACCCCAUCUCUA
RNAcentral lists this non-coding RNA (117 nucleotides) under Chlorocebus sabaeus (green monkey). Lineage: Eukaryota; Metazoa; Chordata; Mammalia; Primates; Cercopithecidae. The record is from Rfam by way of RNAcentral.